This 253-nucleotide ribosomal RNA is filed under the name uncultured bacterium. Its description in RNAcentral is "partial 16S ribosomal RNA". It matches the Rfam family "Bacterial small subunit ribosomal RNA", at positions 524 to 776 of the family's 1533-position model. The record is from RNAcentral.
UACAGAGGGUGCAAGCGUUAAUCGGAAUUACUGGGCGUAAAGCGUGCGUAGACGGUUGCGUAAGUCAGAUGUGAAAGCCCCGGGCUCAACCUGGGAAUUGCAUUUGAGACUGCGUAGCUAGGGUGCGGAAGAGGAAAGCGGAAUUUCCGGUGUAGCGGUGAAAUGCGUAGAUAUCGGAAGGAACACCAGUGGCGAAAGCGGCUUCCUGGUCCAGCACCGACGUUCAGGCACGAAAGCGUGGGGAGCAAACAGG